Molecule: ribosomal RNA, 253 nt
Filed under: uncultured bacterium
Lineage: Bacteria
Description: partial 16S ribosomal RNA
Rfam family: Bacterial small subunit ribosomal RNA
Source: RNAcentral
UACGUAGGGGGCUAGCGUUGUCCGGAUUUAUUGGGCGUAAAGAGCGUGUAGGCGGCCAGAUAAGUCCGCUGUGAAAUCUCGAGGCUCAACUUCGAGCUGUCGGUGGAAACUGUCUGGCUAGAGUCCGGAAGAGGAGAGUGGAAUUCCUGGUGUAGCGGUGAAAUGCGCAGAUAUCGGGAAGAACACCCGUGGCUAAGGCGGCUCUCUAGUACGGUACUGACGCUGAGACGCGAAAGCGUGGGGAGCGAACAGG